Molecule: long non-coding RNA, 293 nt
Filed under: Brassica napus (rape)
Lineage: Eukaryota; Viridiplantae; Streptophyta; Magnoliopsida; Brassicales; Brassicaceae
Description: long non-coding RNA (BNAP_LNC025235)
Source: RNAcentral
GUGUCAUAUGUUCAAUACUAUUUUUAAAUUACAGUAUAGUAUGAUACAUUUCUCUUUCUCUUCUUUUGCAAUUUGUUUAUCCUGCUCUGCUUCCUGAUUCUUCUUGUUUACUACUUGAUCAGUUACAUUGUUUUGUCCUCCAACACCGUCGCCACUCAUCAUCUCCUCUCUGUCUCUUCUUCUAUUCUAUUUUAUAAUCACAGUACGUUGUUUGUUGUACCAUUGUUAUGGUUCCUUUAAUUGUAACUUUUAUCCGCUAACUGUGUUUGUUUAAAAACUUGCGGUCUGCGUCU